Molecule: ribosomal RNA, 253 nt
Filed under: uncultured bacterium
Lineage: Bacteria
Description: partial 16S ribosomal RNA
Rfam family: Bacterial small subunit ribosomal RNA
Source: RNAcentral
UACGGAGGGUGCGAGCGUUGUCCGGAAUCACUGGGCGUAAAGGGCGCGUAGGCGGCUCAUGAAGGCUGUGGUGAAAGUCCGGGGCUCAACCUCGGAUCGGCCGUGGCGACUCGUGGGCUGGAGCACUGUAGAGGCGGGUGGAAUUCCGGGUGUAGCGGUGGAAUGCGUAGAUAUCUGGAGGAACACCGGUGGCGAAGGCGGCAUCCUGGACCGACACUGACGCUGAGGAGCGAAAGCCAGGGGAGCAAACGGG